CCCCUUCCUCCUUUCGCCGCCGCUUCCGCCGCCCCCGCCCGGGCGCCCCGAGCCCCUCGGCCGGGGCGGGGAGCGGCGGCGCGGGGCCCCCUCCCCGCGGAGCCCCCGGAACCCCGCGCCGCCCUCCCGGGGGUUUUUUAUGAAUGAAAGGGCCGUAUGCAAAUGAGCGCGGCCCGGGGGGGAGCGCGAAAUGGCGGAUGCGCGGGCGGGCGGCGCGCACACGUACGCGCGUGCCCGCCGUCCCUCUGUCCGCCCGCUCCCGGUCCGUCUGUCCGAAGGGAGCGAGCGACCCCCGCACCGCUUCGCGCCGGGGGCAACAAAGGGUGCCCCCCAACCCCGGCCCCUCUCCGCCCGCCCGCGGCCCCGCUCACUCGUCAGGAUGCUCUGUGAUCAGGCAAUCCUGGGAGAAGAAAUGUGUCUGUCCCACCCAAGCUCAUCACCUUGACCUUCCAGCUUCCAUAGGCCCCUCCCGUUGAAGCAUCCCUUUCUCAUUGCAGGAACAGAAAUGGACACUUGGAGAAAAAUCUGUGGACUGCUAGUAAUGCAAUGAAGGCAAGAGCUGAUGAAAGCUUUGAGGCCUUCCUUCUGGGCAGUCACUCCCAGGGAGAAGCGGCAUAUCCUUUGGAGGUGGUACCAGAAUCCACUGCUUUGGGGGCAUUACAAUGUUAUAGUGAUGCUCCUGCCACUGCCAGAGGUUUGGCCACAAAACCAGACAAUAUAUGAGAGUACAAGCCUUCUUUCCAACCCUUAGCAGCCCAUGGCAUGCUCUUUUGGGUGGAAAUGCUGCCUAUAUCCCCACCCCCUUCCCACCCAUUCAUUCCUCUGCAGAGCAUAGUUUGUCACCCCCUCGGCUGUGCUAAUGCACCCCCCGAGCUGAGGAGUGACACUGCUGGAUCUGCUGAAUGGUCCCAGCUAAUAAUACCCCCCAAUACCUCUUUAUUUUGGAAAGUUAUUCAAGGAUCCAACUUGCAGAAUGGCAUGAUAAACAUCUUGGCAAAGCUGAGUUGGCAGCAAAAGGAAGUGUCAGGGCAGGAGUAAAUGGUUAGGGGCAAGGAAAUGGCAGGAACGUCUUCAGCUGCUGUACAAUAAAAGACCAGAAGUAAUGAUUUGACUCAUUUCUACCCAUCCUAUGUCUUUUUUUUUUUUUCCAAAUGAUGUUGUGAUUGCACAGACCUCUAAGAUCCUUAAAACCUUUCAUGCCAAAAAUUUCUGUGGUCAGCAGGAACAUCAAUGCACCUGAAGUGGGGAGUGUGGCAUUUAGCAAUUGGUUACUACAGAAGCAGAAUAAGGGCAGAGUUAUGGCCGUAUGAAAAACCCAGGGCACAAUCUUGUAAUUAAAAGGCCAUCAUAAUGCAUGUACCACUGAGGAGGACCGGGUAUUAAUCACUGUCUGAUUAAUACUUGAGAGCUUGUCUGUGUGAUCUGGAUGUAUUUUUAUGUGCUCGCGUUGUGUAUGCACGUAUUUGGCCCAGUGGUGAGAAGCAAAUGUGUCUGAGGCUUGGAAGCUGAAGUUUCACUUGAUCUGGCUUCUUGAGUCAUUUCCUGUGGAUUUGCAAGAUCUCAUAUUUGAUCUCUGCUUUCACUGUCCUACUAAUUUAGAAGCUGCUGAGCGAUGUAUUCUCUGAAUGAUUUCUCUCCCUCUUGGUAUUACUUUCAUGCCGAUAGAUGCUCAAUUUUAUUUCUCUGAUAUUCAGGUUACUGUGGCGGUUCUUGCGAGUGGUGCAUUCGAGAUGACUGACUUUUCUGAAUGAAAAGACUCCCUCUCAGAGGUGUGAUUUCUGUUUGUGCCUUGUGUUGUUUGUAUACAGAGUUUCUGCUCAGACACAGAAUAGUGCUUCCCUGUGAUGUGUUCAUUACAGUACCUAGAAUUAAUUAGCUAUGGGUGGCAGAGCUUCAAGGCAGCAGCUCCUGCAUACUAACGAUUUGCAUGCUGUGACUGUCCUGUGUUUUGUAUUCAAAAGAAACAUUUAUUUUGCAAAGUAAUGCUUUAGCUGUUGCAGAGAAUCUGGCAUAUGGACCUCGUUUCUGCUUGGAUUGAAAUGGACUUCCCUGAGUGCUGUUACACCUUUAGCUAUCACUUAUUUAGGGUGAGAAGUAACUGGAAUUUGAAGUGGCAAACUUCAGGAUGGCAUUUACUGCAUGCUUGCAACGUAACCUCCUACCUUCACUUACUCUUGCUUGUAAAACCUUUGAGCUGAAGUCUUCCACACUGUUGAUUUAGGAACCUAAAUAUGAAUGUUGGUACCCUGUUGACUGUGCUGAAUUCAAUGAUUUUUCCACUGACUCACUCGGUGACUUUGAAUGAGUGAGGAGUGGAAGUCAGCAGUCCUGAAUCAUGCCAUCCUCCAGACAAUUACCCCCCUCACCGAUAAUUCUUUCGAGCAGCAAUCAUAUUUUAAAAGCAAUGAUUACAUCUGUGUUUUCCCCCAUUAUAAUCACUCAGAAUUUAAGAGCCACAGAAACAAUCUGCAACAUUUGCAGUCAGCUUGAAAUCUUUCAGUUGACACUUUUUGGGAGGUCAGAGACUGUGGAAAUACUAAGGGUUCUUUUCAGCAGGAGUGGGAUUUCAGCAUGCCUUUGGAGAAUUGGUUUGGAGAAUUGUCAGGAUCAUUUCAGGCACCUGCCAGGGGAAGAGAAGGUGGAGAACUCCUUGCAGUCUUCCCAGGAUGUCGUUUUGGAGGGUGGUAAGAUCAGAGCAGGAAAGCAGAAAGGACCCUCACUGCCAGAUGAACUGGUUUGCUCAAGAACUGACUAUGCCACUGUUUUCUAGUUUUUAUUUCUUUGUAACUCUGUGUUUUACUAGGGCUGAAAGUGGCAACAAAUCUUAGGAGAUCUCUUGUGCUGUUGCCUGUGUGAUUUUUCAGGACACCAAGGGAUCAACCUGGGCAACAGCAAUGACUGUGCUGGUGUCUGGGAAGGCAUUGACCAGUGCAUGCAGUCAGCCAUGAAUCACUUGUGUGGGACAAAUCUGCUGUCAUUUGUAGCUGAUUUCACGAAACCAUGCGCUCUCCUUCACCCUCUCCCAAAAUACAAACAAAGUUUAUUGAAAUGAGGAGACUGUGAGGAAAAGGGGUCUUUUCAAAACCCUUGCUUUCUAACUGGGCACUCUGUUGCCCUCGUAAUAUUCAGCAGUAUGUGAUUUAUAGCUCCCCUGACACGAUGGUUUGGUGUUUCCUUUGUGUGCAUAACUUCCUUUUGAUAUAAAGGGAUGAUAACAAACCUAAACUGUAAUCUCACUAGCACAUGACCCAUUGUCUUUGUGGUGCAGAUGGCAGGAAAAUGCUCUGAUCUUGAGUUCAGCACUUCAGCCUUCCCACCCCCACCCCAAAUUCCACCCUGGUAACAGGGUGGGCAUUAGCAAGUUUAGUGAGACACCAGUGUUGGUGGGGGCGAUUCCUUCAGAUGCAGUGAUGCAGGAUGAUGGUUUUGGGAGUCCCACUGGAGUUGAGUCCCUGGUAUGGACUCAGCAAGAGAUGGGUGCACAGCUGCUUCUUUAUCUUCUUCUUACCUUUUUGUGCUGAAUGACUAGAAGGAAAAACUGCUACAAAACCUUCACUUACCGCUGUCAGUCCCCCAGCAGAGCUUUCCUUCUGUGCAUUUCCAACUCAGCGUGCCCUGGCCCAUCAAAUCAAAAAAAUAAUGUGCACGAACUCUGCAACUGUCACGGCAACCUCAGCAUUAGUCCUAAAGCCGGGCUACUUUUGGCAUGAGGGAAGGGCUGCUCUUCUCUUGAGAUGCCUUUCCACCCUUGAGAGGUUUCUGCAUUUUUGAUACAGCUGCUUCCAGAGCCUCAUGGGAGCUGAACAAACAGAUGUCAAAUACUCUGUUCUUACUUCAGGGAGCACAAAAGUGGAUGGGUCUGGGAUAAACACUGGAGCUGUGCACACCUUUUCCCCCCCUCCUCGGGGAUUAUUUGAAUUAGACUUGAACCCUUAAGUGUAUUUCAAAAAGUUGCCUUCUGAUGGCCAAAAUUCACUUGGGUGUUCCUCCCUGUCUUGCACAGCUAUUGUGAGACCAACCCUUCUGAACACUCAUGUCCCCUUUAUUGCAAAACUCUUUGAUUGGCCUCAGCAGGUGACACAACGGACAGUUGACUACUUACUUUAGCAAAACCAGUUUUCAUGGCUUGACCUCCUUUUCUGACCCAGUGUCUUGCUGUGAGUAGAGGGUCCUAUUCCGUGUCUGAGCAGUUGUAAUUGCAGGAUUACCCAGUCCAGGCCCAGACGUGGGAGAAACCCCCCCACAGGCAUUGAUCAGGAAAGGCUUCUGGAGUUAAAUUAAGCUUUUGAAAUAUGGAAAUGAGGACAUGGCUUAGUCAGGCGUUCAGUGGCAUAUGAUGCACAGGGGAAAUGAGUUAUAUGCACCCUAUUUGUGUCCCUCUGAACCCAGCCCUCAGCUUCAGGGCUGCUCAGUGACAUGACCCAUGCAGAACUUUAAAGAUGCUUGACAAUGUUUGAUUUCAAAGGGUGCCAGUCCACCCUCUUCUCCAGGCAGAUAUUUUUCCUUGUGUCAACAUCCUCAUAACAACUCCAGCUAGGCAAAUAUAGCACAUGGCUUAUGAGUGUCCUGGAAGGACUCAGAGGUGGAGAGUUAGAGCUAAAGAAGGUUCAUGGUUAACCCCAUGCACCACUGAAUAGCUUUUCCAGGGAUAAAUCACAGCACAUGAUGAAGAGGCUGGGAGGAGAGUUUAAUGGUCCUGCAGAGAGCACCACCUUAGACAGCCAUCCCUCAAGAUAUUCCCAAGGAUUCUCAUGGAAAAUAAUCCUACGCUCCUUUUAUGUCCUUGUAAUCACACACAUAUUAUGCUUCCCUGCCCAGUUCUAAGGAGAAAGGUAAUUAGUCACUCCACACAAACCUUUUGGGACUAUGCAUAUACUCCAGUAUGGAAUACAGCUCUGUCUAGAAGGGAAUAAAAAUGCACGACUCUGCUCUGUGUGUGGUUAUUAACAGAAGCUGCCAUUCGCAGGAACUGGGUGCAAGGCCUUCCACGUGCUCCCUGCCAGCUGCAUCUCCAGCAGCAUUGGCUGCCAGGCUUAACAAAGCCCAGAAAUGGAAGCCCAGGUUAUGAGAGCUUCACACCUGUAAUGCCAAAAGCACAGGCUUGACUCCUGCUCACAAAACUCCCUUGUUUUAGAUAGCAGGCUCUCCAGUUUCUUAGAGAAAAAAAAAAAAAAAAAAAAAGAAGAAAGGCUGGUUAUUGCUGGGUGUGUGUUCUGACCUUAAAAGCUGAAAGUAAAAACUCUUCCAGAUAUGGGGUGUGCUGAAGUGGCAGCUGAAGGGCUUUUUUGGUUUGUUCUACAGUUAAUACCAUUGUGCUAAAAUUGCACAGGGAGGAGUGGGGGUUAAUUUAAGAUUUAGUGUGACCAAAAAGAAUUAUUUAAAAAACAACAAAUGGACGACAUUCUGAAAAAUAAGCUUGAUUUCCAUAGUCAGGAGUACUUGACUUAAGUUGCAGGGACUGUGAAGGAAGCCUCCUGGAUCUAUUGCAGGGGUGAAGAGUGUUGCUCUUCCAUUACAGCAGAAGAAAUCACAGCCUGAGGAGAUACCCAGGUGUCAGGGAGAGGACUUGAACUCAUGAGCAUUUGGGAGUCAUCUAGGACAGGAAAACAACAUCUACUCGAGUUUAAUUCCCUGUGCUUUUUUAUGUGUGUCUAGUUGCUUGGCUGUGAGUGGUAUUUAAAUCCCCUGAGCCUCUCCGUUCCCUUGUAAUUUACUAUCAGAAAGGACAGAAAUAAAUUCUAACAUGUUUGUGAGACAUAUCAGAAUUACUUCAAACUUAGGAGAAUUUUGGAGUAAACUUAAAUGCUUCAAAGCCUAAAUAUCACACUGCUAAUUAUCUUCUUAUUAGUUUAAAUCAUCAUGGAUAAAAAUGAAAUGCUGCUGUGAAAACUGCCCCAUCAAACUGAACGUGGUUGUAGCUGUUUGCCUGGUGUGGCCUGAGUAAAAGUGCUCUACUGUGCAUUUCUACUUUAGAAAAAUUCUUUGUGCCCUGAUUUCCAAGUUCGAAAAUAACUCUCUACAGAUGAAACACAUUUUUCACCCUUCAAAGAAGUGUUUUCACCUACAAAUACUCCUUGCUGCCUAAACAAGAGCCCUUUCCUUUACACUUGUGCCAACAUGUAACUUGGAUAAAGAAUUAAACUUAGAUUCUUAGUUAUAA
Long non-coding RNA from Pseudopipra pipra, 6160 nucleotides. RefSeq lists it as uncharacterized. Lineage: Eukaryota; Metazoa; Chordata; Aves; Passeriformes; Pipridae. The record is from RefSeq and is a predicted model, not a curated record. The transcript is spliced from 4 exons.